UUUCCGUAGGUGAACCUGCGGAAGGAUCAUUGUCGAAACCUGCCCAGCAGAACGACCCGCGAACUUGUAUAAACAACCGGGGGCGGGGGGCGUUCUCGCCCCGUGCCCCCGAACGGCGGGGAGACACUCGUGCCUUCUUGCCGAACAGCGAACCCCGGCGCGGUCUGCGCCAAGGAACUUCAACUAAAGAGUGCCUCCGGUCGCCUCGGAAACGGCGUGCGUGCCGGGGGCGAAUCUUGUGCAAAACCAUAACGACUCUCGGCAACGGAUAUCUCGGCUCUC
This 282-nucleotide unclassified non-coding RNA is filed under the name plant metagenome. Its description in RNAcentral is "partial contains small subunit ribosomal RNA, internal transcribed spacer 1, and 5.8S ribosomal RNA". The record is from RNAcentral.